UACGAAGGGUGCAAGCGUUACUCGGAAUUACUGGGCGUAAAGCGUGCGUAGGUGGUUUGUUAAGUCUGAUGUGAAAGCCCUGGGCUCAACCUGGGAAUGGCAUUGGAUACUGGCGAGCUAGAGUGCGGUAGAGGGUAGUGGAAUUCCCGGUGUAGCAGUGAAAUGCGUAGAGAUCGGGAGGAACAUCUGUGGCGAAGGCGACUACCUGGCCUGUUCUUGACGCUGAGGCGCGAAAGCUAGGGGAGCAAACGGG
Molecule: ribosomal RNA, 253 nt
Filed under: uncultured bacterium
Lineage: Bacteria
Description: partial 16S ribosomal RNA
Rfam family: Bacterial small subunit ribosomal RNA
Source: RNAcentral